This 23-nucleotide non-coding RNA is filed under the name Cricetulus griseus (Chinese hamster). Lineage: Eukaryota; Metazoa; Chordata; Mammalia; Rodentia; Cricetidae. The record is from RNAcentral.
GAUGGUACUGGAGAAGGACUGCG